GAAUGCCAUUUCCACAGCCUGUCUCCUCACACACAUGGGCAGGCAACACCGCUGAUGCUUCCCAACCAACCCUGCGUGUCGGCUGCUGAUUAGAACUUUCCUGUUGCCACGGAAACCCCCCUGGGGAGGCCUGCCCUACUUUGCAUCCCUGGCAUAGGGCGGGCGGCCUCACCCCACACCCCUGAGACAGAGAGAUGGGAUUUAUCCAACUCGCUGCAAGAACAGGUCCCACUGGAAAAAGAACUGGCCUCCCUCAUUCAGAUAUUCAAUCGAUGUUUAGCAGCACCAACAAUGUCCCAGAGACCGAGCCAGGCCCUGGGACAAGAAGAAACAUAAGUCACGGUCCCUGCCCUCGCAAAGCACACUGACUCACAGGGAACCCGACAGAAAACCAGGUAUGAGCCUGCCUGUGAGGCCGAGGACCACAGCAAUGACGCCAGCAACUCAGGGCUGGGGACAAUUCUGAGCCCUUCCCAUGGAUUCACUCAUCUGCUCCUUCCAUUAACUUUUGGGGUAGGUAUCAAUAGUAUCCCCAUAUGACAGAUGAGGAAACUAAGGGCUCAGAGAGGUUGAGAAGCUUGCCCUAGGUCACACAGCUGAGAAGCAGCAAAGCCAGAACCUGGAGCCAGGGAGAUUCUGAGCCACACUGUAGGUGUUCAGUGAAGGGUUCCCAACUCCAUCAGGGUGGUCCAGGAGGGUCUCCCAGGGAAUGUCCUCCGAAGGGAUCUCAGUAAGAGGAGAUGAGGGUGGGGACAGGAGCAUGGUGGAGCGGGGUUCUGAGAUGCUGAUCACUCAGUAUUGGGGUCAGUGGCCUGGUCCUCCACUCCUUGUCUGGUGAGACUCAGUUAGGUCUUGAGACACAUGACUUGGGAAAAGAAGAUGUAAUCCAGGUGGUCAGUGCUGGAGAGCGGCACAUCAGCUACAAGGCACAGGCCCCCUGAAAAGGCUGAAACGCCUCUGGAGGCUUCCAAGGGAGCAGUUUGGGACGGGUGCACACACACUCCGCUGCCUGCCCAUCUUCACACCCUUGGGCAACAGCUCCCUAUACCUCCACACCUGUGAGGAGGAGAGACUCAGACCACGGCCAGGCUUAGUCCUUGCAGUACCUGCACAAAAAGACUUUUAUUUCCAGGAGGGCAUCUGUGCCUCAAGCUAUCAGCAGCUAUACAAGACCACAAGUCCAAGUAGCAAGGAGGAAAACAGACCUUGGAAUGAGAAGCCCCCCCUGCUCAUUUACCGCUUGAGAGUUUUCGAAGGCAUCACCUGGCAAAUCUGCGGUGCACGCAGUGAGACUCACUUCCUUGCUUGAGAUCACACAAUUUUUCAUCAAUAAAGCUAAGACUCAAUCCCUUGUCUGA
Cebus imitator (Panamanian white-faced capuchin) is the source of this 1358-nucleotide long non-coding RNA. RefSeq lists it as uncharacterized. NCBI's taxonomy places the organism in Eukaryota, Metazoa, Chordata, Mammalia, Primates, Cebidae. The transcript is spliced from 2 exons. The record is from RefSeq and is a predicted model, not a curated record.